AGAGUUUGAUCCUGGCUCAGAAUGAACGCUGGCGGCGUGCCUAACACAUGCAAGUCGGAUGUGCCGCAAGAUGCAUGGCAGACGGGUGAGUAACGCGUAGGGAAUCUACCUCUUUGUGGGGAAUAACGCUCCGAAAGGAGUGGUAAUACCGCAUGAGACCGAGUGCUGGGAUGCAUUCGGUGAAACCUGGGGACCGCAAGGCCUGGGGCAAGGAGAGGAUCCUGCGUCUGAUUAGCUAGUUGGCGGGGUAAUGGCCCACCAAGGCGACGAUCAGUAGCCGGCCUGAGAGGGUGAUCGGCCACACUGGAACUGAGACACGGUCCAGACUCCUACGGGAGGCAGCAGUGGGGAAUUUUGCGCAAUGGACGAAAGUCU
Molecule: ribosomal RNA, 375 nt
Filed under: uncultured bacterium
Lineage: Bacteria
Description: bacterial SSU rRNA
Rfam family: Bacterial small subunit ribosomal RNA
Source: RNAcentral